AGGACGAACGCUGGCGGCGUGCUUAACACAUGCAAGUCGAACGGUGAAGGAGAGCUUGCUCUCCGGAUCAGUGGCGAACGGGUGAGUAACACGUGAGUAACCUGCCCUUGACUCUGGGAUAAGCGUUGGAAACGACGUCUAAUACCGGAUACGAGCUUCAGCCGCAUGGCUAGGAGCUGGAAAGAAUUUCGGUCAAGGAUGGACUCGCGGCCUAUCAGCUAGUUGGUGAGGUAAUGGCUCACCAAGGCGACG
This 252-nucleotide ribosomal RNA is filed under the name uncultured soil bacterium. RNAcentral's name for it is "partial 16S ribosomal RNA". It matches the Rfam family "Bacterial small subunit ribosomal RNA", at positions 26 to 278 of the family's 1533-position model. The record is from RNAcentral.